GACGAACGCUGGCGGCGUGCUUAACACAUGCAAGUCGAACGGAAAGGCCCUGCUUUUGUGGGGUGCUCGAGUGGCGAACGGGUGAGUAACACGUGAGUAACCUGCCCUUGACUUUGGGAUAACUUCAGGAAACUGGGGCUAAUACCGGAUAGGAGCUCCUGCUGCAUGGUGGGGGUUGGAAAGUUUCGGCGGUUGGGGAUGGACUCGCGGCUUUCAGCUUGUUGGUGGGGUAGUGGCUUACCAAGGCUUUGACGGGUAGCCGGCCUGAGAGGGUGACCGGCCACAUUGGGACUGAGAUACGGCCCAGACUCCUACGGGAGGCAGCAGUGGGGAAUAUUGCACAAUGGGCGGAAGCCUGAUACAGCAACGCCGCGUGCGGGAUGACGGCCUUCGGGUUGUGAACCGCUUUCGCCUGUGACGAAGCGUGAGUGACGGUAAUGGGUAAAGAAGCACCGGCUAACUACGUG
Molecule: ribosomal RNA, 467 nt
Filed under: uncultured bacterium
Lineage: Bacteria
Description: partial 16S ribosomal RNA
Rfam family: Bacterial small subunit ribosomal RNA
Source: RNAcentral